RNAcentral lists this unclassified non-coding RNA (659 nucleotides) under Hevea brasiliensis (rubber tree). Lineage: Eukaryota; Viridiplantae; Streptophyta; Magnoliopsida; Malpighiales; Euphorbiaceae. The record is from RNAcentral.
GAACCAGUUCGUUUAUCUAUAAAAAGGGAUGGGCAAUUUAUUAUCUAUCAAACCAUAAGUAUUUCAUUAGUUGAUAAAGGUAAAGAUAAAGUUAAAACUAAUAAAAAAUUCAUAAAAAAACGAAAUGUUGAUAAGAAUAAUUUAGACAAAUCCAUUGCACAACAUAGCGAUAUGCCUGUGAAUGAAGAAAAAAAUAAUAAUUCUAAUUUUCUUGUUCCUGAACAUAUUCUAUCUCAUCGACGUCGGAGAGAGUUGAGAAUUCUAAUUUGUUUCAAUUUCUGGAAUUGGAAUGAUAUAGAUAAAACUCCACAAUUUUGCAACGAAAACAAAAUAAUAAACUGUGGACAAUUUUUUAAUGAGGACAAGCAUCUUAAUAGAGAUGCAAACAACUUUAUUAAAUUAAAAUUAUUUCUUUGGCCUAAUUACCGAUUAGAGGAUUUAGCUUGUAUGAAUCGUUACUGGUUUGAUACCCAUAACAGCAGUUGUUUUAGUAUGUCAAGGAUAUAUAUGUAUCCCCAAUCCAGAAUAAGUUAAUAAACUAAUAUUAUAUUUCCUAUAUAUCACCUGACAUAACAUAUUUGAUAGAUGGCGAAAGAUGUACAUAUGCAUAUGUUAUGUUACAUUUUAGUACCUGAUAUUGAUUUAUUUUUAGAUUUUGG